CUUCAUUCCUCUUCUCCAAUCUUUCCUCUUUCAAAACACUGAACCCUAGCACCCAUCUCCUCCUCUAGCGCACCUCACCUCCUCCGCCACCCCUUCCACCUCCGCCGCCCUGCACCUCCGCCACCCCCUCCACCUUCGUCGCCCUUCUCCUCCAGCCGAUACCCACCUCCGUCGCCCCUCCAUCCCAGCCGACACCUACCUCCGCCGCCCCUCCACUCCAGCCGACACCUCAUCCAACGUCUUCUCCACCACUCAAAGGUUAUGUGCUUUGAAGAAAGUUGUCCAAUUUUUGUAGAUUUCAAGCAAGUUAUGAGGGAGAUUCAAAUCAAACAGGAAGCGUUAGGAGUACAUGACAUACUGAAAAUGUUACGACUCAGGGGAUCUAAGAGUGAUUUAGCGGCUCAUUAGUACUUGGAUGUCGAACAUGACACUCUUCUCUUGAAUGCCGUUGACCAAAGCUUCAACCGAGAGAGUCUAAAGUUCACUACAUCACCCUUUCGUUGGUGCACUCUUUCAAGAAUACAUGGGUUGGGUAAUCACUAGUGCAUCGUCUUUUCAUCAGUGAUAGAGCCAACAAUCAAGAUCUCCUUUUCAGGACCCACUCAUGGAGUCAUACCCAUGGAUCCUUAUUUCUCUUAGUCGUGUCAAUGCUACUUCUUUAUAGGGAUGACCACUUUUGAUCAAUAUGCUGCCUUUUUUAUACGAAUAGUCUUGUCAUCUGUCUCCUUCAACCUUAGCUCGAAAGUGAUUAGUCCCGCACGUUGCGGCUGGCGGGAACUCGCUUGGUGCAUUCGUAAUCACAAAUGAAAGAAGAACCAUGGGACGGCGGGCGGGAACUUGCUUGGUGCAUUCGCAAUCACAAUUGAAAGAAAAACGUUGGGACGACACUGGCAUUCACAAUCACAAAUGAAAGAAAAACGUUGGGACGACAUGGGUAUUCGAUUGGCAUCAAUCCUCAGUUCGAUAUCUACAAACACGUUCAACACUAAUAAAUUCCAAUAUCCAUACUUUUUAUCAUUUGUCUCAAAUUUUAAUUUUAAUUUUGAACAUUUAUAUAAGAACUACAUAGAAUUGCAGCAAU
Long non-coding RNA from Helianthus annuus (common sunflower), 1081 nucleotides. RefSeq lists it as uncharacterized. The transcript is spliced from 3 exons. NCBI's taxonomy places the organism in Eukaryota, Viridiplantae, Streptophyta, Magnoliopsida, Asterales, Asteraceae. The record is from RefSeq and is a predicted model, not a curated record.